UACUGUACUCUGUACCAACUUCUACCUAAAAUUGUAUUACUAAAGGAGAAUCGUAAUACUUAAAUAAAGAGUCUGUUUCCUUUCUACUACCAAUAUAUAUAUUUGAUAAUUAUAUAGACCUGAUCAUCUGCUGAAGAAAUUGACCAACACGAGGACAAGGAACACCCCUACGCAGGCAUCCUGGAUGGGUCAUCCAUUCACAGCUGUCAGGGCCCCCAACAAAGGCCUCAGGGGCCCCAGCACCCCCAGGACAGUUGUCCAGGCCAGCCCAACCUUGAGGCCCUCUACGCCCAAGUCAACAAGACCCACAAUGGAUGCCCUUCAAUUGGCUGACAGGUACGGGGCACCACCACCAAUCACCAACAGCCGAAACAACCACCAACUAAAACCAGCAGCAAAAUCAACAGCAGCAACAACACAUCACCUCAAUACCCUUCAACACCACCACCACCCAAAACCAACAACAACAACAUCAUCCUCCAUUCACACAAAUUUGACAAGACAUCCAUCCGGCCUCAAAUCGCAGACCACGCCAGCCCAGGACCUCCACAUACGGCUUAUUCACCUGAGGGAUCGUCUGAGACCAUACACCCAGACAGCUGAUGAAACUGUGGGUUUGCACACUCGAAGAAUUUCUACACAAACCGUCAAAAACCGUCUCAGGGAAGUUCAUCUGUGUGCUCGUUGUCCUCAUCAGGGUCUCGACCUGACUGCAGUUUGGCGUCGUAACCAACUUCAGUGGGCAAAUGCUGACCAUGGUUGGCCACUGGAAAAGUGUGCUCAGAUUACACAGAUUAUGGUAUUGGCAUACAUUACCUAUGGACAACAAACACAAUUGCAUUUUAUCAAUGGCAAUUUUAAUGCAGAGAUUCAGUUAAGAGAUACUGAGACCCAUUAUGCCGUUCAUCCACUGCCAUCACCUCAUGUUUCAGCAUGAUAAUGCAUGGCCGCAUGUCACAAGGAUCUG
Molecule: long non-coding RNA, 967 nt
Organism: Oncorhynchus tshawytscha (Chinook salmon)
Lineage: Eukaryota; Metazoa; Chordata; Actinopteri; Salmoniformes; Salmonidae
Source: Ensembl